RNAcentral lists this ribosomal RNA (465 nucleotides) under uncultured bacterium. Its description in RNAcentral is "partial 16S ribosomal RNA". It matches the Rfam family "Bacterial small subunit ribosomal RNA", at positions 28 to 504 of the family's 1533-position model. The record is from RNAcentral.
GACGAACGCUGGCGGCGUGCUUAACACAUGCAAGUCGAACGGAAAGGCCCUGCUUUUGUGGGGUGCUCGAGUGGCGAACGGGUGAGUAACACGUGAGUAACCUGCCCUUGACUUUGGGAUAACUUCAGGAAACUGGGGCUAAUACCGGAUAGGAGCUCCUGCUGCAUGGUAGGGGUUGGAAAGUUUCGGCGGUUGGGGAUGGACUCGCGGCUUAUCAGCUUGUUGGUGGGGUAGUGGCUUACCAAGGCUUUGACGGGUAGCCGGCCUGAGAGGGUGACCGGCCACAUUGGGACUGAGAUACGGCCCAGACUCCUACGGGAGGCAGCAGUGGGGAAUAUUGCACAAUGGGCGGAAGCCUGAUGCAGCAACGCCGCGGGCGGGAUGACGGCCUUCGGGUUGUAAACCGCUUUCGCCUGUGACGAAGCGUGAGUGACGGUAAUGGGUAAAGAAGCACCGGCUAACUAC